UAAGGAAUAUUGGACAAUGGGGGCAACCCUGAUCCAGCCAUCCCGCGUGCAGGAUGACGGCCCUCUGGGUUGUAAACUGCUUUUAUUUGAGAAGAAUGGCGUGUAUUUAUACGCGUUUGACGGUAACUUAUGAAUAAGCACCGGCUAAUUCCGUGCCAGCAGCCGCGGUAAUACGGAAGGUGCAAGCGUUAUCCGGAAUCACUGGGUUUAAAGGGUGCGUAGGCGGCAAAUUAAGUCAGGGGUGAAAGCCCGGCGCUCAACGUCGGAACUGCCUUUGAUACUGGUUUGCUUGAAUUAGGCUGAGGUCGGCGGAAUGUGACAUGUAGCGGUGAAAUGCAUAGAUAUGUCAUAGAACACCAAUUGCGUAGGCAGCUGACUGGACCUAUAUUGACGCUGAGGCACGAAAGCGUGGGGAGCGAACAGG
RNAcentral lists this ribosomal RNA (424 nucleotides) under uncultured bacterium. Its description in RNAcentral is "bacterial SSU rRNA". It matches the Rfam family "Bacterial small subunit ribosomal RNA", at positions 355 to 776 of the family's 1533-position model. The record is from RNAcentral.